UUCAUCUCUUUGAAGAAAUCUGACAAAAUUGGAACAAAAAAUAGAGGAUUAGCAAGGGUACUACAGAAGGAUGACAGACUCAAAUCGAGAAAAGUUUUAUAUAUUU
Elaeis guineensis (African oil palm) is the source of this 106-nucleotide small nuclear RNA. The record is from RefSeq and is a predicted model, not a curated record. Lineage: Eukaryota; Viridiplantae; Streptophyta; Magnoliopsida; Arecales; Arecaceae.